Molecule: long non-coding RNA, 1098 nt
Filed under: Calidris pygmaea (Spoon-billed sandpiper)
Lineage: Eukaryota; Metazoa; Chordata; Aves; Charadriiformes; Scolopacidae
Description: lncRNA (ENSCPGG00000013308.1)
Source: RNAcentral
GGUCACUGGCAAAGCCGCUGCUGUGGCAAAGCUGGAGUGCGGGCUCUAGGAGGGAGAUUGUUAUUAGUUUGUGGAACGUUCUUCCAGGUGCUGGUGUGGUGUGCGCUGUGUCCCAGGGAAACGGGGGGCAGAGGGGAGGUGGAAAGCGGCCCCAGCCCGGCUCCGCCACACAGACACCAGGGAGGGGUCAGGACUGUGUCACAGCUUCAGGUGUUUCCACCAGGAAACGUUCCCCCUUUCCCCAAAUGCCAGAGGAAAGGUUUCGCUUUGACGGAUGCUACCUCCGGCUUGUGUUCCUGGAGCUGCCCCCCAGUUCCCUGCCCUGCCUUCUCCUGGUGCUGGGUGGGGACAGCUGCAAUUUGCAAUAUUGGAUUUGUCAGACUUUGCUUUUUUUUUAAAAAAAGCAGUAGCCAUUUAUUCACAAACGCACUCCGUACAUACACUGUGCUGUCUUUACAUAAAAUACAUUGCUAUGUGUACAGUUACCUUUUCCUUUGCCCAGCUAACGCUGUAUAUUUGUUUAAAAAAUAUAGCAUCACUCUGACAGUAGCCUUGCACUUCCCUUUAUAUUUGAAAGGACGCCGGGGUUACUCACAGACAGCAAAAAGCAAAACGAUCCCUGCUGCAUCCACCAGAACUGACUGCGAGGAGGGGACGAUGCACGGUCUGAGACACUGUGUUCACCAUAAAUUAGCCCCCAAAUUAAUAUUGUGUAUGGACAGGAGGGGAAACCUUCGCUCCCCCUGCCCCCACACACUUCCUGGGAGGGUCUCCAACAGCCGCUUCGCUCGGCUCUGGCUAAACAAAGCAAACCCCUUCUCCUGCUUCCAGCCCUUUCCACUGGAUUUAGCAGCUUUCCAGGGAGACAGUGAGAACGUGGAGCCACAUUUCCUCUGGCUGAGUCUCAGCAUCGAAGCACUUUCCUCACUAAAGCCCUCUCAGGUGGGACCGGGAGCACUGGGCCAAGGGCAAGUGUUCAGAGCUGACCAGAAAGCCUUUUUUUUUUUUUUUCUUUUUUUUUUUUUUAGCAGAACAUGCAAAAACAGCCACUCUAUACUUUUAUCACAGGUAAGCUUUUACACGGUGCUGCUAAUAUGA